CGAACCGAUAAGAAGCUUGCUUUUUGUUGGUUAGCGGCGGACGGGUGAGUAACACGUGGGUAACCUGCCUGUAAGACCGGGAUAACUCCGGGAAACCGGUGCUAAUACCGGAUAGAUUAUCUUUCCGCCUGGAGAGAUAAGGAAAGAUGGCUUUUGCCAUCACUUACAGAUGGGCCCGCGGCGCAUUAGCUAGUUGGUGAGGUAACGGCUCACCAAGGCGACGAUGCGUAGCCGACCUGAGAGGGUGAUCGGCCACACUGGGACUGAGACACGGCCCAGACUCCUACGGGAGGCAGCAGUAGGGAAUCUUCCGCAAUGGACGAAAGUCUGACGGAGCAACGCCGCGUGAGCGAAGAAGGUCUUCGGAUCGUAAAGCUCUGUUGUUAGGGAAGAACAAGUAUCGGAGGAAAUGCCGGUACCUUGACGGUACCUGACGAGAAAGCCACGGCUAACUACGUGCCAGCAGCCGCGGUAAUACGUAGGUGGCAAGCGUUGUCCGGAUUUAUUGGGCGUAAAGCGCGCGCAGGCGGUCCUUUAAGUCUGAUGUGAAAU
This 552-nucleotide ribosomal RNA is filed under the name uncultured bacterium. RNAcentral describes it as "bacterial SSU rRNA". It matches the Rfam family "Bacterial small subunit ribosomal RNA", at positions 63 to 600 of the family's 1533-position model. The record is from RNAcentral.